This 73-nucleotide transfer RNA is filed under the name Sciurus carolinensis (gray squirrel). It matches the Rfam family "tRNA". From Rfam's summary of the family: Transfer RNA (tRNA) molecules are approximately 80 nucleotides in length. The record is from Rfam by way of RNAcentral. RNAcentral also lists the same sequence under 1 other name. Lineage: Eukaryota; Metazoa; Chordata; Mammalia; Rodentia; Sciuridae.
GGGGAUGUAGCUCAGUUGGUAGAGUGCUUGCCUUGCAUGCACAAGGCCCUGGGUUCAAUGCCCAGCACCACCA